UACGUAGGGGGCAAGCGUUAUCCGGAUUUACUGGGUGUAAAGGGAGCGUAGACGGUUAUGCAAGUCAGAAGUGAAAGCCCAAAGCUCAACUUCGGGACUGCUUUUGAAACUGUGUAACUAGAGUGCAGGAGGGGUAAGCGGAAUUCCUAGUGUAGCGGUGAAAUGCGUAGAUAUUAGGAGGAACACCAGCGGCGAAGGCGGCUUACUGGACUGUAACUGACGUUGAGGCUCGAAAGCGUGGGGAGCAAACAGG
This 253-nucleotide ribosomal RNA is filed under the name uncultured bacterium. RNAcentral describes it as "partial 16S ribosomal RNA". It matches the Rfam family "Bacterial small subunit ribosomal RNA", at positions 524 to 776 of the family's 1533-position model. The record is from RNAcentral.